UACGUAGGGGGCAAGCGUUGUCCGGAAUCAUUGGGCGUAAAGCGCGCGUAGGCGGCUAGAUCAGUCUGCUGUAAAAGUCAAAGGCUCAACCUUUGAAUGCCGGUGGAUACUGUCUAGCUAGAGUCCGGAAGAGGCGAGUGGAAUUCCUGGUGUAGCGGUGGAAUGCGCAGAUAUCAGGAGGAACACCGAUGGCGAAGGCAGUGGUCUGGGCCGAUACUGACGCUGAGGAGCGAAAGCGUGGGGAGCGAACAGG
Molecule: ribosomal RNA, 253 nt
Filed under: uncultured bacterium
Lineage: Bacteria
Description: partial 16S ribosomal RNA
Rfam family: Bacterial small subunit ribosomal RNA
Source: RNAcentral